UUUUGUCUUUUUUUUUUUAAGUUUCAUCAUAUAUAAAUGAAGAAGAGUCUGAUGCUAUUGCCUAGGCAAUAUUAAUGCUGUCAAGUUUCUAUUAUACUUGGUUAGAAAGUCUCCGAACUAAUACAGAACUCUGAUCAUUCAAUGGAGUGGCUGAUUGCAGCUUUCAUAUCUAGACCUGUAGACUAUAGGGUUUGUCUUUUUGCAUUAACUAAAUAACAAUCACAAAAUAAUUCAGAUUUCCAAAUAUACUAAAAUAUUGGUACUAUAUAAUCACUGAUAUUUUUAGUACUUAAAAGUAGCUUUGUAUACCAAAACACCAGUCUACCAAAAACAAGUACUGGCGAGAGUAAUCCCAGAGUUGGGACCUUCUGGGUCAACCUGAAAAACAAAACUUCAACUUCCACCUAUGUUACUGGGUGCUCAGAAUAAAGGUUUCUGGAUAGGAGAGGGCCAGGGAUGGUGUAGAUGGCCACCAUCUAGUGGACAAACCACUCUGAUAGGGUAGCAAAUGGUUCCAGAGUUUUCUCAGCCCAGAAAAAAACUGUCAAUAUCCACAGUUUGCAUCAGAUUUCCUUCUUAAAUAGUAAAUACACAUUACACUUUGAGAAAUUGAUUCAGCUGUGUUUUUUUUUUUCUUUUCUUUUUAGAGACAGGAUCUUGCUCUGUUGCCCAGGCUGAGUGCAGUGGCACGAUCAUAGCUCACCACAGCCUUGAAGCCCUGGGCCUGAGCAGUCCUUCCACCUCAGCCUCUGAAUAGCUGGGACUACAGGUGCAAGCUACUGACUUGGCUAGAAUUUGGCUGUUUUCACUCACAAACAUAUGUACAUACCGUUUUUAACUUUAAUAAAAGGUUACUUUUUUUUUUUUUUUUUUUUUGAGACAGGGUCUGGCUCUUUUGCCCAGGCUGGACUGCAGUGGCAUGAUCACAGCUCACUGGAGCAUUGACCUCCCAGGCUCAAGUGAUCCUUCCACCUAAGACUACUGAGUAGCUGACACUACAGGUGCAAGUUACCACGCCCAGCUAAUUUUUUAUUUUUUGUAGAGAUGUGAUCUCACGAUGAUGCCCAGGUUGGUCUCAAACUCUUUGGGCUCAAGCAAUCCUCCUGCCUCAGCCUCUCAAAGCCCUGUGAUUACAGGUGUGAGCCACUGCACCUGGCCAAGAUUACUUCCUUUAUUGGGUAGUUACCUAAAUAAUAACACAUAUGGCAAGCAAAUCUAAAAGAACAGAGGAGUAAGAAGGGCAUAAGGUAAAAAUCAAAAGCAAGAUGACCAGCUAGUCCUGGUUUACCUGUGACUAUCCCAGUUUUAAUAGUGGAAGUCCCACAUCCCAGUAACCCUUCAGUCACAAGCAAACCCAAACAGCCCUUCAUUUCCCAAUCCCUCUCUCUCCCCAGAUCAUCACUAUUAAGUUUCCAUACUCUUCCAGAAAUUUCCAUUGCAUAUGGAAGGAUGUGUAUUAUGCACAUAUGCUUACAUAUUUAAAUAAAUUCCUUUUAAUGGCUUAGAGGACAAGAAAUGUCUUUCGAGGCUAAUCUGGUUCUAACAAAGUUUAAAAACAAAAUUUAAAUAUGCAUAGUAAGGAAUUCAAACAUGGAAGAAUAUAAAACGAAACAAAACAUUUAUAAACCUUCGUUUAUAAAACAAAACAGGUUUUGUUUUGUUUUAUAAAGGCACACCAGCAUUUUGCCAGUUUUUGCCAAAUUGCUCUCCUGUGGCAUACUCUUUUACUUUUCUAUCAAUAAUGUAUGUAAAUACUGGUUUCCCCAGUCUCAGCAGUAGUAGGCAUAUUGAUAUUUUAGUAUUUGCUGGUCUGAGGUGAAAGGGCACAGCACCUCACUGUUUUGAUUUGCCUUUCAAGCGUGUAGCAGCUGCUGGACAUCCUUCACGUUCAUACUUCUUUUCCGGUGAAGGACCUUUACAUACUCUUUUGUAAAUGGUUUAAAAGUUACUUUAUACUAACUUUUUUGUAAAUCAAGGAAAUUCAUCUGUCAUAAGCAUUGCAAUUCUUUUUCCCAGUCGACUUUUCCUGAGAAAGUUUUAUAAACACUUCAAAUAAUAUGAUAUAGGAAGUAAUUCCUCCUUGCCUGGAAGUGGGGCUGAGACUGGAGUGCUAGGGCUUGUGUGGAACCAAGGCCAGUGACAAAGCAGACACUGUUGCUUCUAUGUGGCUGUAUUAAAAUGCACCCGCCCCUCCGCACCACCCCACAGAGCAGGAUUUCAACACAGCCCUGUCGACUUGAAAGCCCAAGCUCCUAACCCUGACUUUGUUUCACUCUGCUGGGGUAAAACCUGCUUACCGCAGAGGCUGGCAUUUGCUGAAAUGAGGUCGAGGAAGUGGGAAAGGUGGUUGGGAGUCCAAUCGAAGUCUCACCAAUGAUUGGAUAAACACAGCCAAGUGCUUCACCUCCCUGCACUGCACUCUCACAGCUGUAAAAUCACAGCUGGGUGAUCAGUGAUGACACCAGCCUGGAAGUGUGGGUAGAACCAUUAGAUGAGUCUGUGGGGAGGAAAGCACUUUGUAAACUAGUUAUGUUGUGCAUGUUGGAAGGAUGGGCUGAAUAACAAGAAACCCAGGUGUUCAGGGAUCAGAGUCUGGCUUCUUUCAUGAUAGCAAAAGCACCUCAGCUAACAGGUUAUAGGACUAACGCUAAACAAAUGUGUCAGUAGAAUGGCUGGAACUAGACCCAAACAUCUGCCUCCCUCCUUCAAAACAAAGCUGUGCGCCUCAGACCUGCAACUAUCAGCCUUGAUCCCCUCCUCAACCAAGACUUUGCUCUUCCCUAGGCCCCCAUUGCUGUGCGGCUGGGCAAAGUAGCCAUUGACCGAGGAAUAGAGGUGAGAGGGUUUUGGGUUGGGACUUGGGUCCACUAAAGUUGGUCAUGGCUGGCACGCAGUGCUUUCAGAGCUCAGACAGACAGCACAGCUGGAAAGAACUCAGGAAGUGGACUCUUCUAACAGACUUUGACUCUGACCUCGUGCUCUACCUCAGUUUACACAUCUGCAGAUUGGAAGUUUGGCCAGACGAUAUUAUUGUUUACAUUCUAUCCUCAUCUUUCUCUCUUGGAGAGAGGAUGAGAUUGAGGUUAAGAAGGGGUAAAUGAUUUGCCCAAGGUCUCAGAGAAAGUGAGUAGAAAGAACCCGGGUCUGUGUGGCUGCCAGUCCAUGCUGCAAGAUUUGUGCUGGCAGUAAUGUGGCCUCAGGGCAGGGCUUGGGGUGAUGCCUUGGGUGUAGCUAAUCCAUCUGUCUACCUCAACUCUCCCAUCUAGUCAAUCAUCACACACUGAAUCGAGACCAAAGCUGGGAAUUGGGUACAGAUGGAUGAGUUAAACAUGGUCACUGCCCCCAGGAGGGGGCAGAUACAGACACAAAUCAAGGAUAAUGGUACCACGCUGACACCCCAGAGAGGUUAGAGCUUUGCAGUCCAUUAUGAUAUCCAUGUGUGGCUUUUAAAUUAAAAGUAAAAUGUGGCCAGGCGUGGUGGCUCAUGCCUGUAGUCCCAGCACUUUGGGAGGCUGAGGCAGGUGGAUCACGAGGUCAGGAGAUCGAGACCAUCCUGGCUAACACAGUGAAACCCCGUCUCUACUAAAAAUACAAAAAAUUAGCCGGGCGUGAUGGCGGGCACCUGUAGUCCCAGCUACUCGGGAGGCUGAGGCAGGAGAAUCGCUUGAACCCAGGAGGCGGAGCUUGCAGUCAGCAGAGAUCGCGCCACUGCACUCCAGCCUGGGCGACAGAGCGAGACUCUGUCUCAAAAUAAAUGAAUGAAUAAAUAAAUAAAUAAAUAAAAUAAAAUGUUCAGUUUCUCCUUCACACUAAUCACAGUUCAAGUGCUUGACAUUCACGUGUGGCUAGUGGCUACCAUACUGGGCAGUGCUGGGUUAAAGAAUGUUUUCUACAGUUGGACUGUGGGAAGGAUAAGAAUUCCAGAGGAAAAGUAAAGUAUGGGCAAAGGCACAGAGGAGGAUAAGCAAGCAGCUCUUCCAAAUGAGAGCGAGGGAAGAAAACAGUGUGCAAGUUCGAGGCACUGGGCUGUCUGGGUUCAAAGACCUGCUCUUCCACAUACUGUUGUGAACUUUGACAAAUUAUUUCACCUUUCUAUGCCUCAGGUUUCUCAGCUGUAGAAUAGGGAUACUAACCCUUGCUGUGAAAAUUAAGUUCACACACAUGGUACUUCUUAGAAUGAGGCUUUUAAGUGCCAGUCAGUGGGCCCUAGAGGCUGGAGCAAUUGCCAGGGCCCAGGUCAUAAAGGUUCGGGAAUUAAUGGGUGACAGGAAGCGUGGUGAGGCAGCCAGAUGGGAAGGAGAACUCCUCUUCUCUGGCAAAAUGUCUCAGUCUGUCUCUUGUUUCUCCCAGCACUGUUUUGUCAUAGUUAUGAAUGGUGUUUCUUCUCUAGGAAGGAAAUGCCUUCUCAUAGCUAUCUCUGCCCAUAUAGAUGUCUGUAGGCAAUAGGGUGGGCUGGCUUCCAGUGUGGGUGAAGAUGGACAAGGUCAGACCAAUCCAGGGAGCACGCUGUCUUUCUUGCAGGUGGACAUUGUAUCCGGGAUGGCCAUUGAAGGGAUGUGCUAUGCCCAGGUAUGUAGCAACCAGCCUAUGCCUGCUUGUUAACAUAGGCUGGGCCAGGCUGGAGGGACUUUGUAUGGUACAUGACCAAUUUAGAAGGUUCCUCUCAACACAAACAGUCUGACCGCAUCCAUCAUCCCUCAUAAGUCACCUGGAGUGGCUUGAGGAGAGCCACAGUGCUUCUCUCUGGGACUUUUCCCUCAACCAUCUAAUGUACUGGGGUUCAUCCUGCCCACUUAAUGCCGAGAAUCACAGAACACAGGUCCUUAAGAGGAAGAACCACUUCUUUUGCCUCUGUAUCAGUUGCCACUAUAAAAGUCAGGGUGGAGUUGGGAGGUCAAGGGCUUGGUUGUAGCCUGCAGGCUGUGUUCAGUGUAGAGGCUGUACACUUGGGACUGACCUAUUAAAUCUCUUACUCACGGGUGAGUAAAAAACGCUAAUCUCCAGGUUAACAGAUAUCCAAAAUACUCCUAAGGGGUCCUGGGACUUGGAGAAACUAGUGUGAACCUGGAUUCAAAGCCAGAUUUCUUACUGCAAAGAAUUUUUUUUCUCUACUGAGCAGCCUCAUGUCAGACCACUGCAGACGGCAGUUGAGUUCUCACGAGGCAUGAAAGGCAGUUGAGUUCUCAGGAGGCAUGAAAGCAGUGUGCAAGUGGAGGCUAAUGCUGAUGGGGCACAGAAAAUACAAAGGCUGGCCUGUCUUCCCCAGGAGACAAAGCAGCCACGGAGGCUUAUACCUUUGCACGCCUCAAGACCAGAGUCCAGAGACAAUGGAAACACUUGGACCCUGGCUUUGUCAUGGGCUGGACAAGCUUAAGCAACUCUUUUUGGGCCUCUGGCACUGCUCCCCCAAAAUUAAUAUUUUGUACCUUUGUUGCAGAACAUUCCAACCCGGGACCGGCUAGAGGGCAUGGCAGCCUUCAGGGAGAAGCGGCCCCCCAAAUUUGUUGGCAAAUGACCCCCAUUUUAACCUUCAGCAUGGGAGAUGCAUGCCCUGAAGAGCAGGAUCCAGAAGGAAGAUUUGUGGCCGAAUUUACUUCAUCAUUUCACCUCUCCAGGCUUCCGUUUCUUCACAAGGAUGAUGAUGGAGAUAAAAUGACUGGCGUGAUGCCUGGAACCAAGGUGCUGAUCCUACCACCUACUGCUACCUUCCUUAGCUUCACCCUGGCUAGAAAUAAUCACGAGGGUUGGGUUUGCUUUGGAAAAUGCCGUCUCUCUACUUGAAUGAUAAAGAAUUAAAUUAGAUCUCUCU
Molecule: small RNA, 5809 nt
Filed under: Pongo abelii (Sumatran orangutan)
Lineage: Eukaryota; Metazoa; Chordata; Mammalia; Primates; Hominidae
Description: retained intron
Source: RNAcentral